CGUAGGGUGCAAGCGUUGUCCGGAAUUAUUGGGCGUAAAGAGCUCGUAGGCGGUUUGUCGCGUCGGCUGUGAAAGCCCGGAGCUCAACUCCGGGUCUGCAGUCGAUACGGGCAGACUUGAGUGUUGCAGGGGAGACUGGAAUUCCUGGUGUAGCGGUGAAAUGCGCAGAUAUCAGGAGGAACACCGGUGGCGAAGGCGGGUCUCUGGGCAACAACUGACGCUGAGGAGCGAAAGCGUGGGAGCGAACAGGAUU
RNAcentral lists this ribosomal RNA (253 nucleotides) under uncultured bacterium. Its description in RNAcentral is "partial 16S ribosomal RNA". It matches the Rfam family "Bacterial small subunit ribosomal RNA", at positions 526 to 779 of the family's 1533-position model. The record is from RNAcentral.